Molecule: ribosomal RNA, 497 nt
Filed under: uncultured bacterium
Lineage: Bacteria
Description: partial 16S ribosomal RNA
Rfam family: Bacterial small subunit ribosomal RNA
Source: RNAcentral
GACGAACGCUGGCGGCGUGCCUAAUACAUGCAAGUCGAGCGGAGAGGGUUGGUACUUGUACCAACUGGGUGAGCAGCGAACGGGUGAGUAACGCGUGGAGAAUCUGCCUGUGAGCGGGGGACAACAUUGGGAAACGAGUGCUAAUACCGCAUAAAAACUUGAAACACAAGGUUUAAGGGUGAAAGAUGGAAUUGCAUGACUCAAAGACGAUCCCGCGUCGUAUUUGCUAGGUGGUGAGGUAAAGGCGCUCCAAGGCGAAGAUGCAUAGCCCCCCUGAGAGGGUGGUCAGCCACCUUGGGAGUGGGACACGGCCCAAUCGCCUUCGGGAAGCAGCCGGACGGCAUCUUCGGCCAUCGGCGGAAAUCUUACCGAGCUACGCCGCGUGAAGGUAGAAGGUUUUCGGGUCGUAAAACUCUGUUUUUAGGGAAGAAAGCUGGUUGGAGUGGAACGCUCAGCAAGUGACGGUAACUACUCAGAAAGCGACGGCUAACUACGUG